RNAcentral lists this transfer RNA (62 nucleotides) under Explanatum explanatum. Its description in RNAcentral is "tRNA-Ser". Lineage: Eukaryota; Metazoa; Platyhelminthes; Trematoda; Plagiorchiida; Paramphistomidae. The record is from RNAcentral.
AGAGGGUUGUUUUAUUGUCGCUGCUAACGAUGAUAUGGAUAUUUAGAUUAUCCGACCCUCUG